AACGAACGCUGGCGGCAUGCCUAACACAUGCAAGUCGAACGAGACCUUCGGGUCUAGUGGCGCACGGGUGCGUAACGCGUGGGAACCUGCCCUUAGGUUCGGAAUAACUCCCCGAAAGGGGUGCUAAUACCGGAUAAUGUCUUCGGACCAAAGAUUUAUCGCCUUUGGAUGGGCCCGCGUUGGAUUAGCUAGUUGGUAGGGUAAAAGCCUACCAAGGCGACGAUCCAUAGCUGGUCUGAGAGGAUGAUCAGCCACACUGGGACUGAGACACGGCCCAGACUCCUACGGGAGGCAGCAGUGGGGAAUAUUGGAAAAUGGGCGAAAGCCUGAUCCAGCACUGCCGCGUGAGUGAUGAAGGCCUUAGGGUUGUAAAGCUCUUUUACCCGGGAUGAUAAUGACAGUACCGGGAGAAUAAGCGCCGGCUAACUCCGUG
This 433-nucleotide ribosomal RNA is filed under the name uncultured bacterium. RNAcentral's name for it is "partial 16S ribosomal RNA". It matches the Rfam family "Bacterial small subunit ribosomal RNA", at positions 29 to 507 of the family's 1533-position model. The record is from RNAcentral.